RNAcentral lists this ribosomal RNA (467 nucleotides) under uncultured bacterium. RNAcentral describes it as "partial 16S ribosomal RNA". It matches the Rfam family "Bacterial small subunit ribosomal RNA", at positions 28 to 507 of the family's 1533-position model. The record is from RNAcentral.
GACGAACGCUGGCGGCGUGCUUAACACAUGCAAGUCGAACGGAAAGGCCCUGCUUUUGUGGGGUGCUCGUGUGGCGAACGGGUGAGUAACACGUGAGUAACCUGCCCUUGACUUUGGGAUAACUUCAGGAAACUGGGGCUAAUACCGGAUAGGAGCUCCUGCUGCAUGGUGGGGGUUGGAAAGUUUCGGCGGUUGGGGAUGGACUCGCGGCUUAUCAGCUUGUUGGUGGGGUAGUGGCUUACCAAGGCUUUGACGGGUAGCCGGCCUGAGAGGGUGACCGGCACAUUGGGACUGAGAUACGGCCCAGACUCCUACGGGAGGCAGCAGUGGGGAAUAUUGCACAAUGGGCGGAAGCCUGAUGCAGCAACGCCGCGUGCGGGAUGACGGCCUUCGGGUUGUAAACCGCUUUCGCCUGUGACGAAGCGUGAGUGACGGUAAUGGGUAAAGAAGCACCGGCUAACUACGUG